UGGGGAAUUUUGGACAAUGGGGGAAACCCUGUUCCAGCCAUCCCGCGUGUGCGAUGAAGGCCUUCGGGUUGUAAAGCACUUUUGGCAGGAAAGAAACGUCAUGGGUUAAUACCCCGUGAAACUGACGGUACCUGCAGAAUAAGCACCGGCUAACUACGUGCCAGCAGCCGCGGUAAUACGUAGGGUGCAAGCGUUAAUCGGAAUUACUGGGCGUAAAGCGUGCGCAGGCGGUUCGGAAAGAAAGAUGUGAAAUCCCAGAGCUUAACUUUGGAACUGCAUUUUUAACUACCGGGCUAGAGUGUGUCAGAGGGAGGUGGAAUUCCGCGUGUAGCAGUGAAAUGCGUAGAUAUGCGGAGGAACGCCGAUGGCGAAGGCAGCCUCCUGGGAUAACACUGACGCUCAUGCACGAAAGCGUGGGGAGCAAACA
Molecule: ribosomal RNA, 427 nt
Filed under: uncultured Achromobacter sp.
Lineage: Bacteria; Pseudomonadati; Pseudomonadota; Betaproteobacteria; Burkholderiales; Alcaligenaceae
Description: bacterial SSU rRNA
Rfam family: Bacterial small subunit ribosomal RNA
Source: RNAcentral